Gallus gallus (chicken) is the source of this 1063-nucleotide long non-coding RNA. Lineage: Eukaryota; Metazoa; Chordata; Aves; Galliformes; Phasianidae. The record is from Ensembl.
AUGUUUCUGUUUCUGUGGAGGUUGUUUCCGUUGUUUCCGUUGUUUCCGUUGUUUCCGUUGUUUCCGUUGUUGUUCUUCACCAGUCACCUAAUUUUCUGCCGUAUGUUUCUGUCUCUGUGGAGGUUGCUUCCGUUAUUAUUUCCGUUAUUUCUGUUAUUAUUUCUGUUAUUUCUGUUACUAUUUCCGUUAUUGACGUUGUUAUUAAUUUUCCGUUGUUUCCGUUGUUUUCGUUGUUUUCGUUCUUUCUCUUCUUUCCGUUGUUGUUCUUGACCUGUCACCUAAUUUUGUGCCGUAUGUUUCUGUCUCUGUGGAGUUUAUUUCCGUUAUUUCCAUUAUUUCAGUUAUUAUUUCCAUUUUUAUUUCUGUUAUUUCCAUUUUUAUUUCUGUUUAUUUCCGUUCUUUCCUUGUUUAUUUCCGUUCUUUCCGUGUUUAUUUCCGUUGUUGUUUUUGACCUGUCAUCUAAUUUUUGUCCUUAUGUUUCUAUCUCUGUGAAGGUUAUUUUCGUUAUUUCCGUUAUUAUUUUUGUUAUUUCAGUUUUUUCUGUUAUUUCCGUUGUUGUACUUGACCUGUCACCUAAUUUUCUGCCUUAUGUUUCUGUCUCUGUGCAGGUUGUUUCGGUUGUUUCCGUUGUUGUGCUUGACCUGUUACCUAAUUUUCUGCCUUAUGUUUCUGUCUCUGUGGAGGUUGUUUCGGUUGUUUUGGUUGUUUCAGUUGUUUCCGUUGUUGUUCUUGACAUGUCACCUAAUUUUCUGCCGUAUGUUUCUGUCUCUCUGGCGGAUGUUUCCGUUAGUGUUUCCGUUAGUGUUUCCGUUAGUGUUUCCGUUGUUGUUCUUGACCUGUCACCUAAUUAUCUGCCUUAUGUUUCUGUCUCUGUGGAGGUUGUUAUGGUUGUUUCGGUUGUUUCGGUUGUUUCCGUUGUUUCCGUCUUCCGUUGUUCUUCUUGACCUGUCACCUAAUUUUCUGCCUUAUGUUUCUGUCUCUGUGGAGGUUGUGUUGUUUCUGUUGUUUCCGUUGUUUCCGUUUUUUCCGUUGUUGUUCUUGACCUGUCACGUAAUAUUCUGCC